AUACACGUACGUAUACCGUUCCGAAUUAUCCCCAAAUUAAAAAUGGUUGACCGAAUAAUAGACUGAAUUUAUCUUCAAUCAAAACGAAUGAUACGCGUACGCAUGUCGUUUCGUACGUUUCCGUAUCCCGAAUUGUGAACUAGGCUACCCACUCGUUCUGCACUUCUUUAUUUAAUUAAUUUAGUAAAAAGCAGUUUUCGGUGGUGUAUAUAUAGGGGAGCAUACCUGAGUAUCAAUCUAUAUAUCUCUCUCUCGUUGUCAAACACCUUCCUCCAUGACCAUGGCUGACGGUAAUCAACAGGAUAUGAUGCUUUUGAGUAUUAUCCUAGAAUCUAACCUUAAGGUUGAAGCUCUACUAACGAGACUCGUCAAAUCUCAAGAAAAUCCUGAACAACAACAGAUAGAGAUCUUAAGAAGAAUUUGUAAUAAUUAUACAGUUCAGCACAAGGUACUGAUAAUGCUGUCCAACAAGAAGAAAUCAGAGAGACCCAGCCACGUGUAAAUGAACCGGAGAAGAGAAGAUGAGAAGUUAGAGUGAGAAGUAGAAAUCACGUGACGUUAAUAGAAUAAGGAUUUUCUUAUCUUGUAUACCCGUAUACAGGAUAAGCAUUAAUUAGCUGUAAUUUUUUUAUUGAUUUUAUAACAUUUUUCUUGGUAAAUAAAAAUUUCGGUAAAAUAAAAACACAGUAAUCACAAAAAUGAUUAUUCCUUUACUACCCCUAUACUUGCAGCAUUGAUCAUCUAUGUUGAGUCCGCCUUUCUUCACAGAUCACAAAAAAAUUCCAUGGAACCCGUUUUGAUAAUUUUGAGAUUCUAGCUUAUGUAAAAAAUCCACCGCAGAAUAAUUUAUGUA
Long non-coding RNA from Papaver somniferum (opium poppy), 853 nucleotides. RefSeq lists it as uncharacterized. The transcript is spliced from 3 exons. NCBI's taxonomy places the organism in Eukaryota, Viridiplantae, Streptophyta, Magnoliopsida, Ranunculales, Papaveraceae. The record is from RefSeq and is a predicted model, not a curated record.